AUUCAGAAACAAAGGACACAAACAGGGUGUGCAGUGAGCAGGUGUCAAUGGUAGAACCCAAAGAACAUGGUGAGGAAGGUGCUACGGGGCCCAACGGUGCAUCAGCUGAGGAUGAUAAUGAUGAUUCAGAAUCAGACGAGGGUAUGAUUGAGACAUUUUCAGAAGAUGAAGAGAGGUGGCCUUUGAGCAGAAUAACCGUAAUAUGUACCUGGUUUUUUUUUGCGUGAAACAAGAUGUUAAAAAAAUGUCUGUAAAAAGUAAGGAGGGUGACCAGAAAAGCUGUGAAGAUGCCGUUAUGGCUGAUAUUAUUAGAGCUGUUGUAGUAAAAGCCAUUUACCACUGUUUGAAAAAACCACUUUUGGAAAACUGUGCAGCCUACGUGGUAAAUGAGUCCAACCCUUCUAGUCACCCUUGUAUUUUUUUGGGUCACUCAGACGUAUUUUAUCAGAUUAGACAUACUUCUUCUAAACUGAAUGUGGCCCAGCUUUUAAAUGUAAUUAUAGUCAAAGGCUACAAACUGAAAAAGUUUAACAUAACCACUGAAACUAUAACCAAAGU
Molecule: long non-coding RNA, 558 nt
Organism: Gopherus evgoodei (Goodes thornscrub tortoise)
Lineage: Eukaryota; Metazoa; Chordata; Testudines; Testudinidae
Exons: 3
Source: RefSeq, a predicted model, not a curated record